This 207-nucleotide ribosomal RNA is filed under the name Klebsiella aerogenes. Its description in RNAcentral is "partial 16S ribosomal RNA". It matches the Rfam family "Bacterial small subunit ribosomal RNA", at positions 1 to 211 of the family's 1533-position model. Lineage: Bacteria; Pseudomonadati; Pseudomonadota; Gammaproteobacteria; Enterobacterales; Enterobacteriaceae. The record is from RNAcentral.
AAAUUGAAGAGUUUGAUCAUGGCUCAGAUUGAACGCUGGCGGCAGGCCUAACACAUGCAAGUCGAGCGGUAACACAGAGAGCUUGCUCUCGGGUGACGAGCGGCGGACGGGUGAGUAAUGUCUGGGAAACUGCCUGAUGGAGGGGGAUAACUACUGGAAACGGUAGCUAAUACCGCAUAACGUCGCAAGACCAAAGUGGGGGACCUU